UAAAGAUUAAUUAUUGUUAAAUAUUGUGAUUUUUGUUAUUUAAUAAUUUUAAAAGUUAACAUCGACAAAUAUUUAAAUAUUUAGCAUAUAGAGGUAUAAUAUUACAACAUUAAAUUAUAUUUAUUUAAUUAUACUAUCUAUAAAUCAUGGGCCAAUAAAAAUUUCUGGUAUGCCCAAAAUUUAAAUGGUAAAAUUAGAUAUUAAAUGUAACAUGACUUUCUAUGAAUAGUUACAUUAUGUCUAUUUUUAAAAAAAAAAAAAUCACACAUGAAUCAAGGUUGUGACUUAUGUUUUAAUAUAUAAGAUACAAAACUGAAACCCUUAAAUAAUGCAUAAAAAAUCUGUCGAUAAAAAAUUCAAAUUUAUAAUAAAAAAUUACAAUAUCCUCA
This 389-nucleotide long non-coding RNA is filed under the name Brassica rapa (field mustard). Its description in RNAcentral is "long non-coding RNA (BRAP_LNC005074)". Lineage: Eukaryota; Viridiplantae; Streptophyta; Magnoliopsida; Brassicales; Brassicaceae. The record is from RNAcentral.